Molecule: transfer RNA, 62 nt
Filed under: Ictidomys tridecemlineatus (thirteen-lined ground squirrel)
Lineage: Eukaryota; Metazoa; Chordata; Mammalia; Rodentia; Sciuridae
Description: Spermophilus tridecemlineatus (thirteen-lined ground squirrel) tRNA
Rfam family: tRNA
About the family: Transfer RNA (tRNA) molecules are approximately 80 nucleotides in length.
Source: Rfam by way of RNAcentral
GGUGAUAUAGCUCAGGGGUAGAGCACAUGCUCAGUCCCCGGGUUCAAUUCCCAGUACUACUA